This is a long non-coding RNA of Oncorhynchus tshawytscha (Chinook salmon), 687 nucleotides long. NCBI's taxonomy places the organism in Eukaryota, Metazoa, Chordata, Actinopteri, Salmoniformes, Salmonidae. The record is from Ensembl.
GUAAAGAGGUAGUUGUUUGGGCAAAAUUAUAGGUGGGCUAUGUACUGGUGCAGUAAUCUGUGAGCUGCUCUGACAGUUGGUGCUUAAAGCUAGUGAGGGAGAUAAAGUGUUUCCAGUUUCAGAGAUUUUUGUAGUUUGUUCCAGUCAUUGGCAGCAGAGAACUGGAAGUCAUUAUUGCAGUUGCAUUGUACAGCAAAUAUCAUACAACUGUCUCUUGAGGUGCGCUUACAGAGAAAGUUAGGGCACAGUACUCUUAGUCCUGAAUAACUUACUUGCAUACACAUUUUCUUCAUUUUUCCUGUGGUUGUGUUGGUGCUUCGUGCCUGCAGAUUUCCCUUCCCCACUAAUCAAGGUCCACAACCCCGCUCUAGCUCGAGCUGGAAUGCUGUCCACGCUCCUGUAUAUGCUGGGCUCAAAAUCUGCCUCACUAUGGGACCAAGGAGAUCCAGGUGACCCAGAAGACCACCAGAAGCAUUUGGACACCCUGGCGUCUACGGAGCUCCAGGCGCACUGUUUCCCUGGUCCCUCAGGUCCGCCAGGUCAUCCAGGACCCCCAGGGCUUCCCGGAGGACCUCUCAGAGGUCAAGGCCUUAAGGGUAGUCGUGGAGCGGACCUUCCCACAGGUGUCGCCCAUCUUCCCCAUUAUCCCAUGGGUACUUAUACCUAUACCUGUACCUUAUUUUCCAC